UGGGGAAUUUUGGACAAUGGGCGAAAGCCUGAUCCAGCAAUGCCGCGUGUGUGAAGAAGGCCUUCGGGUUGUAAAGCACUUUUGUCCGGAAAGAAAUCCUUGGCUCUAAUACAGUCGGGGGAUGACGGUACCGGAAGAAUAAGCACCGGCUAACUACGUGCCAGCAGCCGCGGUAAUACGUAGGGUGCAAGCGUUAAUCGGAAUUACUGGGCGUAAAGCGUGCGCAGGCGGUUUGCUAAGACCGAUGUGAAAUCCCCGGGCUCAACCUGGGAACUGCAUUGGUGACUGGCAGGCUAGAGUAUGGCAGAGGGGGGUAGAAUUCCACGUGUAGCAGUGAAAUGCGUAGAGAUGUGGAGGAAUACCGAUGGCGAAGGCAGCCCCCUGGGCCAAUACUGACGCUCAUGCACGAAAAGCGUGGGGAGCAAAACAGGAUUAGAUACCCUGGUAGUCCACGCCCUAAAACGAUGUCAACUAGUUGUUGGGGAUUCAUUUCCUUAGUAACGUAGCUAACGCGUGAAGUUGACCGCCUGGGGAGUACGGUCGCAAAGAUUAAAAACUUUAAAUGAAUUGACGGGGUCAUAGCUGUUUCCU
This 591-nucleotide ribosomal RNA is filed under the name uncultured bacterium. RNAcentral's name for it is "partial 16S ribosomal RNA". It matches the Rfam family "Bacterial small subunit ribosomal RNA", at positions 355 to 1375 of the family's 1533-position model. The record is from RNAcentral.